RNAcentral lists this long non-coding RNA (8494 nucleotides) under Nicotiana tabacum (common tobacco). RNAcentral describes it as "long non-coding RNA (NTAB_LNC003545)". The record is from RNAcentral. Lineage: Eukaryota; Viridiplantae; Streptophyta; Magnoliopsida; Solanales; Solanaceae.
GUGUUUAGGAUUCCUUCUUCUUCUUUUGUUGCAAAACAGAUUUGUUACCCAUUCUUACCCAUUCCUUGACAAAAGCUUCUUCCAUGUCUACUCUCCUCCAAACUCUCUCCACUAGGCAACAAUGGAGGCUAAAAACACAGAUUUUUCUGAAGUGGUUCUCUACUAUUGUCGAUGAUGAACCGAUUGUGGUUGUCCAUUAACUGAAGCUCGGUAUGCCAUCUCCAUCCUUUUUCUGUUCUUAUCUCUCUCAAAUUCUCCGCACACUUUUUUUAUUUCACUGUUAUGUUUUUCUUAGCCGCCCUUCCUGUAAUAUUUUCUUUGCUCAUGUGGCUUCAUUUCUGAUUUUACUUCAAUAUUUCACGCUUUUGUUUCCAGUUUGUCUCGCUUCUGCGGUAUUUUUGACUUUUGGUAAGUCUCCCCUUCUUUCUUUAGUUGAUAUACUAGCUUAUCGGUAGUGAAUUUGAGUGGGUAUGUUUUAAUUUUUAAAUACAUGUUUGAGUGGGUUUCUCAUUUUCACAUGUUUGGAAAUACUUAUGUAUGUGCAUGUUUGGGUUACAUUAUUAUUUUUUAUUUUGGUUGAGUCAGAUGGUAUUCUACGAGUGUAUAGUUCUAUUGAAGAAGGUUUCUACUAGGUACUCUUGCUCUCUUUGGUCUGUUUGGUUCCAGUGAUUUCCAUGAGCUUGUAAAUUUAUGAUUUCAUUCUUCUCAGAGAUUACUGAUUUAGUUGUUUUCAUUUAGCUAUUGAAGUUCUCUAUGUGCUUCUGCUUUGCUCUCUUAUUACACCUUUUUUGGCUUUUAAUUUCGCUCUGUAUGAUUUUGAACAUUUGAUGGACACAGAUCUGAUUUUUUUUAUUUUCAUUCAUAUUUUCGUGCCUGAGCCGAGGAUAUGUUGGAAACAGCCUCUCUAUCCUCACAAGGUAGGGGUAAGGUCUGCGUACACACUAUCCUCCCCAAAUCUCACGGUGUGGGAUAAUACUGGGUAUGUUGUUGUUGUUGUUGUUGUCAUAUUUUCGUGUUGUACUCUUAGCAUGUAUGUGAUUAUUUGAUCACACGUGUCUAUGAUAUUUUUUUACAUGGAUACGCACAUUAUUACAGUAUAGGGAACACUAAGUGCCAUCAAGACAAAAAUAGUAAUGGGGAGGAGAAGAACUUUAAUGUAGCCAAAAUUAUUUGACAGUAUGCCUGAAUAUGUAAGUCUCAAUCCUUCAACUAUAAAUCCUGAAUUCUAAAACUGUGAAAUGUGGUGAUUUCCUUUUGUUUGUUUUAUGUUGGUAUGCCAAUUGUUGAUUUAUAACAAACUUUAGUUUAUUCUUUGUCUCUGUUAUACAAAUAUAGUUUUCCCUCUUUACUGUCGUUAUACAAAUGUAGUUUCCCCUCUUUACUGUCUUCAAUUGGAUAAUGCUGCGAGCUUUGCUGAGAUUUUUACUUGGAUUUGGAAUUUUCAAGUUGAAACUUAAGAUCUUUAUUUAACUUUUGCGGUCCAACUUUCAUAGGAAUGCUUUAUUGAUCUGACAAAGAUAGUGAUUCUCCUUUAAUUUUCUUCCUAUAUUCUUCCGAGGACUCAGGUUCAUGCUUUUUUUAGUCUCUCUUUUUUUCAGGUGGGUGUUAGAGUUCACAAAGCUCUAUUUUAAAAUAGGUUCCUGUCAAUUGGUUAAUGUUUGAAUCUACUGGGCUAUCUUGGAAUUUAUAGUAGUCAUAUCUAACAAUUUUAGGUCAGUUUAGAAGUUCAAUUGAAAUUGAGAAAAAUGGUGAUUAUCUGAGGCAAGAAAUUAAUCUUCCUGUUAUGGUAAAAAAUAUUUGCACUCUAUCACCUAUUUUAUCUAAUGCAACAGCUAAGUCCAGCCACCUCUUAUCGAUCUUGUUUUAAUGUUGCUCUGCUAUGUUCGCCUCAAUAAAGUAAGGAUUCAUGUCACAUAAUUCUAGGAAUGAUAAGUAGGCGAAUCCCUCAAAGAACUUCCAUGUGUUAUAAAAUUGCAAACUAUAAAUUUAUCUUCGGAUAUGUCAUUUGGUUGUCUGCCAUUUUAUUUUGAUUACACCAAAUAUGUAUUUCAAUGACUAAGGUAAGUUUUAAUUAAGACGGGCAUUUGAACAAAGCAAUUUCCUGCAGCAUUAAUUGUGUGGAACAAAAGCAAGGCUCUCUUAACUACUAAAGAAAUAAUGUCUUAUUUUUUGGAACUAUAAGUUAUCAAUUUAAGAUUUUCUUUCACUUUAGAUCUCAACAAUGCUAUUUUAGCGUCGAUUGAAGAGGAAAUGACUUAUUCUGCUCAAAUGAUCUAUUUUCUCCUAAGUAAUGAGAUUACCUAACGUUAACCUUUCAAUUUAGAUGCCUAAAAUUUAUAUCUUAGUCUCAUUUGAAGAGGAAGACUUAUUGUACUAGAAUAGAAGGACAUCAGUUUCUUCCCAAAAUUUUACAUAUUCCUAAUUGCUCAAAAUUAUGAUUUAUCCUAUCUUGAAAAGGACAUAAUUGGAAGAAAUGGUACCUUCUUUUCAGUGCAAAAUUUGAUUCUACGUGCAUACAUCUUGUUCUAGGCUUCACUGUGGUCAUUUUUGGUACCUAUAGUUUAUGGGAUAUCAAUACUACUGGGAUUCAUUAACCCAUCAUCAUCAUGUUUUGCUGAUAGUGUUAGCUUUCUCAUAGGACAUUUAAACAGAAGAAACUCACUUUUGUGUGGAGAAUGCAGCUGAGAAAGACUCAACUUUAGUCAUUUAUAUGGACAUGUCAACUCUUACUUUUCGUGCCUCAGAGUUGAUCCAUCAUGAGUUGCUGCAUAAUACAUCAGCUAUUGUCAUCCAAUGAAUUGACCAAACAUCAACAAAUACACAGCACGUAAAUAGAACAACUUCUCAUUCUCACAUUUGUUGAUUAGAUGUCUACACUGCUGCCUUUAUGUGCUACAUUUAGGACCACAAUAAUUUAUUUUAACAAUUGCAAAGAUGAGAAUGAUAUAUGCAAUUCUUCCGGCAAAUCUAUGUGCUGGCAUUUAUAGCUUUAUUAUUGCUGCAUUUAGGUGUAUCUUGUACCAUCUAGAUGCUUUAGGAAUUUUUGGCCUUAAUUUGUGGAAUAAAACUUAAGAUAUCUGAUAGUUUCUUUUCUGAAAAUUAUAAAUUAUUUCAUUACUCGGCACCUCUUCAAUUUUGUUGUUGGUGUCCGAGUCAGGCUUGUAUCUCUUCAUUUGGUAACUUUAUCUAAGCUAGCGUUUGGCCAUAAAUUCCCAAAUUUAUUCUGAAAAAUCUGAUUUGGGUGAAGUUUGGUUUGAAGAUGAAAAUGUGUUUGGACAUCUGUUUUGGGUGAAGUUUGGUUUGGAAAAACAUGAAACAUGACUUAUACCCACAAGUUCUAAAAACUAUCACAAAUACCCAACAGUACCAUUAUCAAUAACAUUCAUUAUAUUAUCGCAAACCAUAGUCCUGAACAUAAAUAAAUUUGAUACAAAAUUAUCAUUUUUAUAUGAACUACAUGAUACACUAUCAGAUGACCGAGAAGAUGAAGCAACAUCGUUACAAAAUAAUAAAUGGUGGGCUCUUUUAUAAAAUACAAAAGUUUAGGAUAAUUUUUAAAAAAUAUAAUAGUGAUAUUUUGGCCCAAAACCAGCUAUUUUGGGACUUGGGAUUUGGCCAAAAUAUAGGCGAAAUCUAUGGCCAAACAUGUGUUUGCCAGAUAAAACCCAAGUUUAUUUUGGCAAAAUCUAUGGUCAAACGGGUCCUAAGUAUCGUUGGUGCUCCUAAUUUGGAUUUCUCUGUUCCAGUAAUUAAUUAUGAUUUUAUUUCAUUUAUUCCUGAUGUGCUUAUCAAGGUUAUAUAUUGUUGGAAGCUUAUAUGUUCCUUGUUCUUUUGUAUUCUCAUGAGUAGCAUUGAAAUGCGAUAUAUAGAAACAGACGGCUCCGGUAGUAAAUUAUUACUCAAGAAGUAAACAUAAAGAGGAUCAUGCCAAAAAGAAUCUUGCUUUGGCAGUUCUAUUUAGAUGGAUAAAUUGCCUAGAUUGCAUCUUAUUUCAUAAGAAAUUAGAAUCUAUUGCAAUUGUAGGCAUCUAUCUACCCUCUCUGAAGAGGUAAAAAAUAGUAGUAGUUCCCCUUCAUUUGUUUAUUGUACUAAUAAAAAUAUAAAAGGAAAAUAAAAAAUUCAAUUUAUUAAUGUGCUAUGGAUAUUGGUGAUAUCUCAUAUUUCAAAUUUAGACAUGUAAAUGAGCAACAUAAUAGAUAGUCUGCAGCUUUUAUCGCAUUGCAGUAAGAUUAGUGGUUAAUUUUUCAACUAUGGCUUACUGAUCUAUAGUAGCUAUCAGCAUUGUUACUCGAAUUUAAUUUGGACUUGUAUAAUUUCUGUAUAAGCUACCUUGGUGAAUUCUAAUGUGAUUUUCUUUGUUAGGGCAGAACUGAAGAAUCAGAGAACCGAAGAGAUGAUGCUUUAAGGAAAUUGCAUGAAAGAGACUGGACAACAUCUAUUGCAAACAAUUGCACAUGUCUAUUUUGACUGAAACUUCUUUCGUUGACGAUGUUUUAUAAUGUAACUUCUUUUGAUUCUUGGGCACAAAUACGAGGGAGCCAACAUUUUUCAGUAGUGCAAAGUCGUUGCAAUACAGGAUAUGACAGUCGUCAAUCAGGAUAUGUAAGUCUAUUUGUUUAUGGCGUAAAGUGUAAACAAGAGUAGAACACAUGUGUUUCUUUGAUAUGUUAUCAUGGAUUCCUGUAGUGACUCUAUUGGGCCCGUGCAUAGCACGGACAGCAUCAUCUAUCUAGUAACUAUAUAAUAAGUGCAACUUCAUUCGGACGACGAAGGGUAUCUCUUGUUAAUUUAACUUUAAAUAUGGGUAUUAUGGUAAAUCCGCCUCUCUUAACUUUCCAAGACAUGGUAACGUGUACAAUUGUAGCGAUACCCGCGUCACUUUACUUCUCAAACGAUCUUUUGCCUUUUCAUAGCACUUUCGUGAACAAAGACUUGGUUUCAUUUCUCACUCUCUCUGCUGCUAUUUUCGAUGUUCUUCUUCCUCAUCUGUUUUUGCUCAGUUUCUUAUUUUCUUGGUUUUUAAUCUUCUGGUUUCCUUUUGUUUUAUUAUUGUGUGUAAUUUGCUUCUCUUAUUCUUUUUUCAAUUUUCAGAUUCAGAUGUCUCAUAACAUUUUCUUCAUAUGGUUUAAAUUUAUGUAUUUAUCCAACUUUCUCUCUUCAUUUUUUCUUUGCCUUCUCUAUUUGAAUCUGUCUCCAUUUGUUUCUUACUUGAUUUUUCAUUUUUCCUCUAAGACCAUAUGGAUGUAAUUUGGUGCAACUUCUAAGAUUUGAUGCAUGUGUUUGCAGGUAAUUGAAUUUCUUCAUGUUUUUUGAAGGUUUCAGUCUGUUCUUCAAAUAAAGUAAAAUCUCAGCCUUAAUCAUCCCUAUAAUGUUAAUGGAUAUCAGUCUAGGUGUUUUAAAUUUUCAGAUAACGUCAUAUUGGUUCUUGGCUCUGCGUUCUGUGUAGUACGUAUCACUGUUGUACAGUAAAGCAAAGCUUAUUUUUUAACUGCCAGUAGACUGAAAGAAAGAUAUCAAAACAGAGGAUGAUCUUCUAACAUAACUUUACAGCAUCUGUCUAAUGUUACGGCAUUUGAGAAGUUUGGAUCUUUUUUCUUUUUUGAGCUUAUUUUGGAACAAAAUUGAGGGGAUAUUUUCUUUCCUAUUUCUGUGAGUUGAUUGAAAAAGCACUGAACUAGAGUUAUUCCGUUGAUUUGUCUAUAUUUUCUGGAUUAAUGUGCUCCUAUGACUCAUGUUCUGAAGAUUGAUUCUUAUUGGACUUUGGAGGUAUGCCUUUUCUAUUAGGUCCUUCGAGCACUUAACAUUGUUGGUAAGCUCGGUCAUUGUCUAAUUUUGUUUAUACAAUAGUAAUUCUAGAUAUAUGAAGCUCAGAAAGCAGAUGAGCAGUCAUAGUGUUGAUUAACAUGAUAGACUAACAGUCAAGUAUAUUCAUAGAGUAUAAUAGGUGUGGAUCUUAUAUGUGCAAAAUUUUGCGUGAUUAUUGUAGCACCUCAGUCAUUUAUUUUUAAAAACUAGGUUAAAGUAUUGACCCACUUAUUCCUGCUUAUCUUCUUCUGCUUUUCACUGGAGCAGGAAGAAGAGGAGAGAGGGUAAAUUUAUUAAGUGAAAACUUCAGCUGCUCACUAAUUGGCAAAAAGGAAAGAAAAGCAAGUCAAUAUUCUUGUACUAAUCAUAUUGGCAAUUGAUAUUUCGUUUCCAUGAUCUAAGCUGCCUGACCAUCUUUCUAUAAAACUCUUCUUGUUUACAAGCCGGUUUGACUAGAUUUUUAUUACCUAAAAAAUUUAUUGAAAAGUAUCGUACGUCGUUUUAUUAAUUUAUAUCAUCAUAUACAUUCAUAAGGUUCUUUUACCUUGUAAUGUUGAUUGAAUUAGGGGCUGCUGUAACCAUACUUUUGAGUGACGCAUUUUAUUGCUUCUUAUUCACAUAUUUGGAUGUUCUUAUUUUGGACAGUGGAUGAUACCAGCGUUCCUACCGAGGCUGCAAUACAUAUUCUGGUAUUUUUUUCCAUCGGCAUGUUUAUGAUUGUGAAUGGCAUUUGUCAUGUAAGUCUACCAAUAGAACCUUUCCUCUCCCUCUAUUCUCAAUAAAUAUUGCAUUGUUAAUUUCUCUUUUAUAAUGAUUUUGCUUUUGCGAAUGGAAAUGCUUCAACUACUUUUUGGGUGUUAUAUUUUUUAUCUUAGACAGAAAGCAGUAUUACAAAGUUCACUUGCUUAGUGAAAUAUGUUCGUCUUGUGGUGAGCACCCUCCACUUCCAACCAAGAGGUUGUGAGUUCGAGUCACCCCAAGAGCAAGGUGGGGAGUUCUUGGAGGGAGGGAGCCGAGGGUCUAUCGGAAACAGCCUCUCUACCCUAGGGUAGGGGUAAGGUCUGCGUACAAACUACCCUCCCCAGACCCCACUAGUGGGAUUAUACUGGGUUGUUGUUGUUGUUGUUGUUGUAUUUAAAGUGAAUAAACUGAUUUUGUCAUUUUAACCUUUUCUGGUCUUGAGCAGAUAGUUUUAGUUAUAUAAUUUAACUCAAAACUUUGAAGGGAAAAGAAACUCAAUGCGACACUCUAUACUUGGGUGAAAAAUUAACUCUUUAUUAGCUUGAUUAAAAGGAAGAAUAACAACAGAAUAACUGGUGCAUUAUGAGUUUGAGAUCACAUCAUGUGAUCAAAGAAACAUUUUUUUUCUAUUCUGGUGUUAGUACAAGAACUCAAUGAGGAACAUCUCAUUAUAACAUCAUAAUGCAGAGAAUGCUCUAACAUACAAAAUGCAACUCUUAAAUCAUUUUAGUUGGGAAAAAAAAUCAUUUUAGUGAAUGUUCAACAAUUUAUGUUUUAAAAGAUAUCUAAAUUUUUCUGUGUGGGGAAAGGAAGACAAUGAAAAAAGCCACGGCAAGUAAUGUCUCUAAUAUUGCAUCAUUCGCUUAGAGUUCAAUCCUUCCUUUUCUACGCUUACCCUCUUUUUGUUUCUUUUAUGUGCUUAUAUUGUUCUGUGCAGGCCCUGAUUUUACUAUUUUUUUUUUGUAGCAUCAAUUCUAUUGCAAAAAAAUUAAAGGUUGGGACUUAUACAGCUGAAUGCUAUGUCCAGACUAAUCAAAGAAGAAGUUAAAAGGGAAGCUUGCUCUUAGAAUUAUAUAAAUGUUAAAUGUAAUGUUAGAAAAGUAUCCAAGUGAGAAAAACAUCAGUAGACAGAUACUUACCAUCGCUCAGAAAGAUGAGCGAAAAUCCAACCUAAGAAUCUACUAAUGGCAUCUCUUCGAGCGCUAUUUAAAAGUCGAGUAGUGGAAUGGGAAAUGUUACUGCAUUUAUCUGACCUUAGUAGAUAUUAUAUCUAUAAUUAGCAUAAGAGAAACACAGACUCUUGAAAAAGUAAAAUAACAUUAAACUACUGGCACAUGUAGAGUGCUUAUUUUCUGUGAGAGUAUCAAAAUCACUUUUUAUUGUUUGUGAUAAUGUUUUGUCCAAAAAAUUGCAGGAUGCAUCUAAGAAUGUGCUUCGGCUAAGUGCACUAGUUCUUGCUUUUUAUUUGAUGCGGAUUCUAUAAACUCUUUUCAAGAAUUUACCUUGAUAUCAAUGCAUCAAUUCUCGUCGUUCAAUUUUUUCCCGAGUGCAAUUAUUCCAUUAAGAUUUGGAAGAGAAAAGUGAGAAACUUAUCCAGUGGCUGACUGGAGAAUAUUCUUGUUUGAUGAGGCUAGGCUUGAUAUCAAGAAUUGAUGAAGGAAACCAAGAGGCUCAGACAGUAUUUCAAAACACAUGGCUUUCUAUCCUUCCUCAUCGGUUGACUUAACUCGAGAUAAUGAAGAUUUAGAAUAUUUUGCUGUAAGAUUGUUUUGUGAUGCUUGAAAUAGCUGAUUUCAGGUAGUUGCUAAUUAUUUCAAUAUGAGCACAGUUUGAGAAUAUUGCAAAUACUUUCCCCGUGGUGUAGUAUCAUGGUAAAAAUUAUUUUCCCAUUCAUUAUGAUGAUGUUGCUUGCUGCUCAACCUAGACUUUCCUUGGAAUUUGGUUCUCU